GCUGGGUGUGGUGGCUCAUGCCUGUAAUCCCAGCACUUUGGGAGGCUGAGGUGGGUGGAUCACCUGAGGUCAGGAGUUUGAGACCAGCCUGGCCAACAUGGUGAAACCCCAUCUCUG
This 117-nucleotide non-coding RNA is filed under the name Chlorocebus sabaeus (green monkey). RNAcentral also lists the same sequence under 1 other name. Lineage: Eukaryota; Metazoa; Chordata; Mammalia; Primates; Cercopithecidae. The record is from Rfam by way of RNAcentral.